RNAcentral lists this ribosomal RNA (285 nucleotides) under Triticum aestivum (bread wheat). Its description in RNAcentral is "partial small subunit ribosomal RNA". Lineage: Eukaryota; Viridiplantae; Streptophyta; Magnoliopsida; Poales; Poaceae. The record is from RNAcentral.
AUGGAGUACGAGCCGCCGCAAUUAUGUCGUUGUCAGAUGAAAGCCCCUAGGUGGAUCUCAUGGAGCCCGAAGAACCCAGGGAGGAGGUUGUCAAAGAACAAGAUGUUGGAUGCAUAUGUGUGUGAUUUGGAAGUCAAUCAUCGUGGAGAAAUUAAUGUCCUCAAGAAGAAGAUUCAGAAAUUGCAGUUCCGCCUUGUGGUUGCUCUGUUCUACCUUGUCGUCUCCCUCUUUUUUGAAAUGAUUGUCCUGAAGAAGAAGAAGCAUCCUCAAGAUAUUAGUUUGUGA